AUGGUGGUGGUGGACGCGUCGGAGUUCGGGGCGGAGGGGUUCGACCCGAAGCGGUGGAUCAACGCGGCGCUGGACGCGCGGCACCCGUCCGAGCCGCUCGACCGCUUCCUCGCCGACGCCGAGGAGCGGCUCCGCGCCGCGGCCGACGACGCGGGGGCCGCGCUCGAGCGGGACAGCGCCGACGCGCUCCGCCGCGUCCCGCUCGCCUGCCGCGACGCGCUCAGGCUCCGCGACGACGCCCUCGCGCUGCGCUCCCACCUCGCCUCCGUCCUCCAGUCCCUCUCCCAGGCUGAGGGCUCAUCUGCUGAGUCAAUAACUGCGCUAGCACGAAUUGAUACUGUGAAACAACGCAUGGAAGCUGCAUACACGACAUUGCAGGAUGCAGCUGGACUAGCUCAGUUGAGCCAAAGUGUUGAGGAUGUGUUUUCGAGUGGCGAUCUUCCAAAAGCCGCAGAAACCCUGGCAACCAUGAGACAUUGCUUGUCAGCAGUUGGGGAGGUUGCAGAGUUUGCUAAUGUGAGAAAGCAGCUUGAAGUAUUGGAAGAAAGGCUGGACGAAAUGGUUCAGCCCCGUUUAUUGGAUGCCCUUUCUAACCGCAAGAUUGAUGCCGUGCAAGAUCUUCGUGGUAUAUUGACACGUAUUGGGAGGUUCAAGUCACUAGAGGUGCAAUACACUAAGAUUCAUAUCAAGCCUCUGAAGAAACUCUGGGAAGAUUUUGACCUAAAGCAAAGGGCCAACAGGGCAGAGGUGGAGAAGCGUGGUGGUGAAAUCACUAGUGUCUCAUUCUCAAGCUGGCUGCCAAGUUUCUAUGAUGAGACACUACUUUACCUUGAACAAGAAUGGAAGUGGUGCUUGACUGCAUUCCCUGAAGAAUACAGAUCACUGGUCCCAAAAGUACUUGUGGAGACCAUGAGUGAGUUGAAUUCAAGCUUUGUCUCUCGUGUUAAUGUAGCAACUGGGGAUGCUGUUCCUGAAACCAGAUCUGUUGCAAAAGGUGUACUGGAUGUUAUAUCAGGUGACUUGCCAAAAAGCAUCAAAUUGCAGAAUAAACAUCUUGCUGCACUAAUCGAAUUGCACAACAUGACUGGCACUUUUGCUCGGAACAUUCAGCACUUAUUUUCAGAAUCAGAUCUUGGAGUUGUGCUGAAUACAUUGAAAGCUAUUUAUUCCCCAUAUGAAACCUUUAAGAUGAGGUACGGGCAGAUGGAGCGCGCUGUGCUUUCUGCUGCGAUGGCCGGUAUAGAUAUCCGUGGAGCCAUCUCCCGUGGUUUAGGUGCACAAGGUAUAGAGCUAAGUGAAACUGUCCGUAGGAUGGAGGAAUCCAUCCCACAGAUGAUAGUACUUCUUGAAGCAGCUGUUGAGAGAUGCAUUAGUCUCACUGGUGGAUCAGAGGCAGAUGAACUGGUACUGGCUCUUGAUGACGUCAUGCUGCAAUACAUAUCUAAUCUACAAGAAACUUUGAAGUCCCUGAGGACGGUAUGUGGGUUGGAUAAUACCACACAUACUGAUGCCUUGAAAAAAGAUGCAGGAUUAGAGAAAAAGGAAGCACCACGAUUGGUGGAUGUGUCUGAAGAGGAAGAAUGGUCAAUUGUCCAGGGUGCUUUGCAGGUUCUUACAGUUGCCGAUUGCUUAACUAGCAGGACCUCAGUUUUCGAAGCUUCUUUAAGGGCUACUCUUGCCAGGAUUGGAACAAACUUUUCUCUUUCCGGAUUUGGUUCUAGCAUGGAUAAAUCAUCUGCUGGUACUGCUGAUGACAACUCGGGAGCACCUCUGGGUGGGAGGGCAGCACUUGAUAUUGCAACCAUUCGACUCACCAAUCUACCAGACAAGUCUAAGAAACUCCUCACUGUGCUAGAACAGUCAAAAGAUCCAAGGUUCCACGCUCUUCCCGUCACGUCACAAAGAGUUGCGGCCUUCUCAGACAAAGUAAACGAGCUUGUAUAUGAUGUGCUCAUUUCCAAAGUCCGGCAGCGUCUCUGUGAGAUUGCCCGCCUCCCAAUCUGGUCGUCCGUGGAGGAGCAGGGUGGUCUUCCUCUUCCAAGCUUCAGUGCGUACCCACAGUCAUACGUGACCAGUGUCGGGGAGUAUCUCCUCACUUUGCCACAGCAGUUGGAGCCUCUCGCUGAAGGCAUCUCAGGCAGUGAGGCUGGCAAUGAUGAGGCUCAGUUCUUUGCUACAGAGUGGAUAUUCAAGGUCGCCGAGGGUGCCACCGCCCUGUUCAUGGAGCAGCUGCGCGGGAUCCACUACAUCACGGACCGGGGCGCCCAGCAGCUCGCGGCGGACAUCGAGUACCUGAACAACGUCCUCUCGGCACUGUCGAUGCCGAUCCCUCCAUUCCUCUCCACCUUCCACGCCUGCAUCUCGACCCCGAGGGACCAGGUCCGCGACCUGAUAAAAUCGGAUGGCGGGACCCAGCUGGACCUCCCCACCGCCCAUCUCGUCUCCAAGAUCCGGCGCAUCUCGCUAGAGUAG
Molecule: ribosomal RNA, 2472 nt
Filed under: Triticum aestivum (bread wheat)
Lineage: Eukaryota; Viridiplantae; Streptophyta; Magnoliopsida; Poales; Poaceae
Description: partial small subunit ribosomal RNA
Source: RNAcentral